RNAcentral lists this ribosomal RNA (480 nucleotides) under uncultured bacterium. RNAcentral describes it as "bacterial SSU rRNA". It matches the Rfam family "Bacterial small subunit ribosomal RNA", at positions 30 to 532 of the family's 1533-position model. The record is from RNAcentral.
AGUGAACGCUGGCGGCAGGCCUAACACAUGCAAGUCGAACGGCAGCACGGCAGUAGCAAUACUGUGGGUGGCGAGUGGCGGACGGGUGAGGAAAACGUAGGAACGUGCCCCUUGGAGUUGGAUAGCCACGGGAAACUGUGGGUAAACCGACAUAGACUCGAGAGAGUAAAGGCCGAAAGGCGCCAAGGGAGCGGCCUGCGGCCCAUCAGGUAGUUGGUAGUGUAAAGGACUACCAAGCCGACGACGGGUAGCCGGUCUGAGAGGAUGGCCGGCCACAAGGGCACUGAGAGACGGGCCCUACUCCUACGGGAGGCAGCAGUGGGGGAUUUGGACAAUGGGCGAAAGCCUGAUCCAGCGACGCCGCGUGGAGGACGAAGCCCUUCGGGGUGUAAACUCCUUUUCUCAGGGAAAAAGGAUGAUGGUACCUGAGGAAUAAGCCCGGCUAACUACGUGCCAGCAGCCGCGGUAAGCUAGUCUACG